UUAACAUUUAAUGUCUCACUUCAUGUGCUUCUCUUUUGUUUCAGCUCUUCUGGAAACAGUUUCACUUGUUGGAGAAGUUUCGGAAACUGGACAAAGUCAGCAUGUAUGUCAGAAUCAGACCGGAUGAUAGGAGUGCUUGUCAUACCGCUGAUGUGUGCGUCAGCCGUUGUUGAAUAGCGAUGUAUCAGCAGGAAAACAACGACAUGUUUCUCAGGGAACACAGGAUGAUAGGAGUCAUGAUGUGUGCGUCAGCGUCUCCGAGGCGUAGCUCUCUGAGCGGCUGCAGGCGUCUGAUCUCUGAACGCUCCCAUCAAACAGAUUACAGACGGAAAUACCUGACGGCGCGCUGGCAGACAAAAGAGAGGCGAGGACGGAGGGAGAGUGUGUGCUCAGGCUGAAGACUUUAUUUCCUGUGACACUCUGAACCAAUAUUGUAAUUUGUAUUAGUUUAAUCAUAUUCUUGGUUGUUCUUUAGUGUUGAAGUGUCCCAUGAAGGCCUUUACAUCUUGAGAGAGGGUGUUUUUCUGGUGCAAAUGUCAGUGGUGGGAGAUGGAAGUAAAAGUAUUAACACCACACUGAAAAAAUACUCUGUUACAAGUCAAAGUCCUGCAUUUAAAAUGUUAUUUAGGUAAAAGAAAGUAAGUAUAAUCAGCAACAUGUAGUUAAAGCUUUAAACGUGAAAGCACCCAAUGCAAAAAAGAACUAAAAUAAAAUGUAAAAAACACCAACAAAAAUCUUCAAAAUCAUAAAAAAUGACUCAAACAGAUGCAAUCUUUAAAUCUGUUAAUUGACGACGAAGCUGGUUCUUCUAUAAUAAUAAUAAUAAUAAUUCCUUACAUUUAUUAUAGUGCUUUUCCAGAUGCUCAAAGUGCUUUACAAACAUUACACACACAUAUCAUGCACUGUGGACAAUACCCACAGGAGCAAGUUCAGGUGGAGUGUCUUGCCUAAGGACACGACGACUUUACAGACGCAGCAGCGGCGGCUUUCGAACUGGUGUUCCCCAAAGCACAGCCCACUGCGCCACUCCGCCCAUCUUCACACCUCAAAGUCAUCAAGGCGCUUUCCAAGUACACAUUACACACAUAUCAUACAUGUAACGGUCAUGUACUGCGUAUGGCAAGCCAAUUGAGCAUUUAUUCCAUUUCCUUGAUAUCAGACAGCAGCUGCCUACACUAGUCUUUGAUUUCACUUGUUAGAUAUAUGGACAAAGUUCUGAUGUUUUUGUUUUCCCUCUUUAAACUCUGGCUGAACUUUAAAGUCCGUUCAGGCUUCCUGUUGGACUUAUCAGGAGGUCAGCAGGUCAGCAGGCCGUGACCUCUGACCCCGGGCUUCCUUGUUAUUGCUCGUCUUUGUUUUGAAGUUGUUUGUUUCUGCUGCUGCUGCUGCUG
Gymnodraco acuticeps is the source of this 1391-nucleotide long non-coding RNA. RefSeq lists it as uncharacterized. Lineage: Eukaryota; Metazoa; Chordata; Actinopteri; Perciformes; Bathydraconidae. The record is from RefSeq and is a predicted model, not a curated record. The transcript has 3 exons.